CCUAACACAUGCAAGUCGAGCGGUAGAGAGGUGCUUGCACCUCUUGAGAGCGGCGGACGGGUGAGUAAUGCCUAGGAAUCUGCCUGGUAGUGGGGGAUAACGCUCGGAAACGGACGCUAAUACCGCAUACGUCCUACGGGAGAAAGCAGGGGACCUUCGGGCCUUGCGCUAUCAGAUGAGCCUAGGUCGGAUUAGCUAGUACCUGAGUUAUGGCUCACAUGGGCGACAGUCCGUAACUGGUCUGAGAGGAUGAUCAGUCACACUGGAACUGAGACACGGUCCAGACUCCUACGGGAGGCAGCAGUGGGGAAUAUUGGACAAUGGGCGAAAGCCUGAUCCAGCCAUGCCGCGUGUGUGAAGAAGGUCUUCGGAUUGUAAAGCACUUUAAGUUGGGAGGAAGGGCAUUAACCUAAUACGUUAGUGUUUUGACGUUACCGACAGAAUAAGCACCGGCUAACUCUGUGCCAGCAGCCGCGGUAAUACAGAGGGUGCAAGCGUUAAUCGGAAUUUACUGGGCGUAAAGCGCGCGUAGGUGGUUCGUUAAGUUGGAUGUGAAAGCCCCGGGCUCAACCUGGGAACUGCAUUCAAAACUGUCGAGCUAGAGUAUGGUAGAGGGUGGUGGAUAUUCCUGUGUAGCGGUGAAAUGCGUAGAUAUAGGAAGGAACACCAGUGGCGAAGGCGACCACCUGGACUGAUACUGACACUGAGGUGCGAAAGCGUGGGGAGCAAAAAGGAUUAGAUACCCUGGUAGUCCACGCCGUAAACGAUGUCAACUAGCCGUUGGGAGCCUUGAGCUCUUAGUGGCGCAGCUAACGCAUUAAGUUGACCGCCUGGGGAGUACGGCCGCAAGGUUAAAACUCAAAUGAAUUGACGGGGGCCCGCACAAGCGGUGGAGCAUGUGGUUUAAUUCGAAGCAACGCGAAGAACCUUACCAGGCCUUGACAUCCAAUGAACUUUCCAGAGAUGGAUUGGUGCCUUCGGGAACAUUGAGACAGGUGCUGCAUGGCUGUCGUCAGCUCGUGUCGUGAGAUGUUGGGUUAAGUCCCGUAACGAGCGCAACCCUUGUCCUUAGUUACCAGCACGUUAUGGUGGGCACUCUAAGGAGACUGCCGGUGACAAACCGGAGGAAGGUGGGGAUGACGUCAAGUCAUCAUGGCCCUUACGGCCUGGGUUACACACGUGCUACAAUGGUCGGUACAGAGGGUUGCCAAGCCGCGAGGUGGAGCUAAUCCCACAAAACCGAUCGUAGUCCGGAUCGCAGUCUGCAACUCGACUGCGUGAAGUCGGAAUCGCUAGUAAUCGCGAAUCAGAAUGUCGCGGUGAAUACGUUCCCGGGCCUUGUACACACCGCCCGUCACACCAUGGGAGUGGGUUGCACCAGAAGUAGCUAGUCUACUCUUCGGGGCGGUUACCACGGGGUACAU
RNAcentral lists this ribosomal RNA (1424 nucleotides) under Pseudomonas fluorescens. Its description in RNAcentral is "bacterial SSU rRNA". It matches the Rfam family "Bacterial small subunit ribosomal RNA". Lineage: Bacteria; Pseudomonadati; Pseudomonadota; Gammaproteobacteria; Pseudomonadales; Pseudomonadaceae. The record is from RNAcentral.